Molecule: ribosomal RNA, 253 nt
Filed under: uncultured bacterium
Lineage: Bacteria
Description: partial 16S ribosomal RNA
Rfam family: Bacterial small subunit ribosomal RNA
Source: RNAcentral
UACAGAGGUGGCAAGCGUUGUUCGGAUUUACUGGGCGUAAAGGGUGCGUAGGCGGCCCUGUGUGUCGGAUGUGAAAGCUCCUGGCUUAACCGGGAAACGGCAUUCGAAACUGCAGGGCUAGAGUACAGGAGAGGAGAGCGGAAUUCUCGGUGUAGCGGUGAAAUGCGUAGAGAUCGAGAGGAACGCCGGUGGCGAAGGCGGCUCUCUGGAAUGAUACUGACGCUGAGGCACGAAAGCUGGGGGAGCAAACAGG